UACGUAGGGUGCGAGCGUUGUCCGGAAUUACUGGGCGUAAAGAGCUCGUAGGUGGUUUGUCGCGUUGUUCGUGAAAACUCACAGCUUAACUGUGGGCGUGCGGGCGAUACGGGCAGACUGGAGUACUGCAGGGGAGACUGGAAUUCCUGGUGUAGCGGUGUAAUGCGCAGAUAUCAGGAGGAACACCGGUGGCGAAGGCGGGUCUCUGGGCCGAUACUGACGCUGAGGAGCGAAAGCGUGGGGAGCGAACAGG
RNAcentral lists this ribosomal RNA (253 nucleotides) under uncultured bacterium. RNAcentral describes it as "partial 16S ribosomal RNA". It matches the Rfam family "Bacterial small subunit ribosomal RNA", at positions 524 to 776 of the family's 1533-position model. The record is from RNAcentral.